This is a long non-coding RNA of Anneissia japonica, 894 nucleotides long. RefSeq lists it as uncharacterized. NCBI's taxonomy places the organism in Eukaryota, Metazoa, Echinodermata, Crinoidea, Comatulida, Comatulidae. The record is from RefSeq and is a predicted model, not a curated record. The transcript has 4 exons.
AGUACGUAUUUCCAUUGAGGUCAAAAAGAAAUUAUUUUACAUACAGGCACGCGUAGUAAAACCCCAAAACAUUUCGACAUGUAUUUCAACACUAUUUUUUUUAAUUUCGACAUAUAAAUCGACAAUGAUAUAUUAAAUUAUAGACUUUGAUAUUAGGAUGCGUUUAUUUUUAUGAUACUGGAUUGGAUGAAUUUGUCUAAUAUUCAACACCAUGAUUGCAUACUGUGUAAAACUGUAACUUACAUAAUAAAGACUAUUUUAACAUUGAGUUGUGAUUGAGGCAGCAGCACGUUUGUGAGCACUCAUAGAAUUGAGAGUAACGAUAAAUUCGUUCAGUUCAGACCCGGGAAAGAAGGAAGACAUUCGUGCUCUGUAAUUCUAGUUUAUGUGCUACACUUCUGUACGUUUACGGCUAGUAGCUUCAGAAGGCGGGCUUGCUAAUCCUGAUCACAUUUUUAUGUACAUAUUUUUAUUUUGGCAAUUAAUAAUUUUGUGGAUUUGACGCCGGAUAGAAGUUUCAUGAUUUUGAAUCGCUGAUCGAUAUGUAUAUACGACUAAUUUCUCCAUUUCUGAUUGCCUGGAUUCCAUUUUAUUAAUUCUUCGAAGCAGAGACUCCUGGUUUUAAGUACGGUGUCAAGCCAACCUCUAAGUUCACCUGCAAGAUUUUCAAUUUCCCGCGAUUCAAGACGACUAUUCCCGGGUCUGGUUUGGCGGGAGAUGAGGUUGGCUGGGUUCCGGAAUCGACCAGCUCUGACGACGAACUAAAAAAUUUGUAAAGUCCAACCAUUUCAAAAUGCACUUCUGGAGAUCUCAGUAACUAGUGGACCAGUGGAUAUAAUGUUGCUUUCUCGUUUUGUGCUCGUUAAUUUUGCUGAAUGCGAACCAGUUGGCUCA